ACGAGGGGGGCGAGCGUUGUUCGGAAUUAUUGGGCGUAAAGGGUGCGUAGGCGGUUUGGUAAGUCUGAUGUGAAAUCUAUGGGCUCAACUCAUAGUCUGCAUCGGAAACUGAAGGGCUUGAGUGCCGGAGAGGGUCGCGGAAUUCCCGGUGUAGAGGUGAAAUUCGUAGAUAUCGGGAGGAACACCAGUGGCGAAGGCGGCGACCUGGACGGACACUGACGCUGAGACGCGAAAGCGUGGGGAGCAAACAGGA
This 253-nucleotide ribosomal RNA is filed under the name uncultured prokaryote. RNAcentral's name for it is "partial 16S ribosomal RNA". It matches the Rfam family "Bacterial small subunit ribosomal RNA", at positions 525 to 777 of the family's 1533-position model. The record is from RNAcentral.